UAAACAGCGAGCAUACGAAUAAGCAGCCGCGAACUGUUUAGGGCCGCCGCCCGGUAUUCAGCACAAGAGCAUAUAUUAAAGUUGUAGCAGUUAAAAAGCUCGUAGUUGAAUAUCAGGUAUAACGUACCAGGCCCGCAGCCUUUAGGCUUGUGUGUGCCGGCGCACGUUUGCCAUCUUUCUAGAAAACGGGUCUGCCAUUAACUUGGUGGGUUCGGGAUCUAGAUCAUUUACUUUGAAAAAAUUAGAGUGUUUAAAGCAAGCAAUUGCUCUGAAUACAUUAGCAUGGAAUAAUAAUCUAGGACUUCGGUUCUAUUUUGUUGGUUUCUAAAACUGAAGUAAUGAUUGAUAGGGACAGUUGGGGGUGCUAGUAUUGGCCGGCCAGAGGUGAAAUUCUUGGAUUCGGUCAAGACUAACUUAUGCGAAAGCAUUCACCAAGGAUGUCUUCUUUAAUCAAGAACGAAAGUUGGGGGAUCGAAGACGAUCAGAUACCGUCGUAGUCUCAACCAUAAACUAUGCCAACUAGGGAUGGGUGAACGUUGCUUUUUCGACUUCAUCCGCACCUUAUGAGAAAUCAAAGUCUUUGGGUUCCGGGGGGAGUAUGGUCGCAAGGCUGAAACUUAAAGGAAUUGACGGAAGGGCACCACCAGGAGUGGAGCCUGCGGCUUAAUUUGACUCAACACGGGAAAACUUACCAGGUCCGGACAUAGUGAGGAUUGACAGAUUGAAGAUCUUUCUUGAUUCUAUGGGGUGGUGGUGCAUGGCCGUUCUUAGUUGGUGGAGUGAUUUGUCUGGUUAAUUCCCGUUAACGAACGAGACCUCGACCUGCUAAAUAGUUGACUGAAUCUUUUUUGGGUUGGGAAUUGACUUCAUAGAGGGACUUUUUUUGUGGUCAGCAAAAGGAAGUGCGAGGCAAUAACAGGUCCUGUUGAUGCCCUUAGAUGUGUGGUCGCACGCUGCUUACCUGAAUCGAUUCAUCGAAGCCAUUACACAUUCUUGUGAACCG
RNAcentral lists this ribosomal RNA (1003 nucleotides) under uncultured eukaryote. RNAcentral's name for it is "bacterial SSU rRNA". It matches the Rfam family "Eukaryotic small subunit ribosomal RNA", at positions 526 to 1544 of the family's 1831-position model. The record is from RNAcentral.